GACGAACGCUGGCGGCGUGCUUAACACAUGCAAGUCGAGCGGAAAGGCCCGGCUUUUGUUGGUUUCUCGAUUGGCGCACGGGGGUGUAACACAUGUGUAACCUGCCCUUAUCUUUGUGGGAACUUCUGGGGACUGCGGCUAAUACCGGGUAUGAGCUCCUGCUGCAUGUGGUUGGAUGGUAAAUUUCGGCUGUUGGGGCUGGACUCGAGGCUUAUCAGCUUGUUUGUGGGGUAGUUGCUUACCAAGGCUUUGACGGGUAGCCGGCCUGAGAGGGUGAACGGGGACCUUGGGACUGAGAUACGGACCAGAAGCGUAUGGGAGGCAGUAGUGGGGAACAUUGCACAACGGGCGGAAGCCUGAUGUAGAGACCCUGCGAGCGGGAUGCCGUCUUUUGGGUUGUAAACCGAUUUGGAAUGUGCCGAAGAGUGAUUGACGGUAAUGGGUAAAGAAGCAACGGCUAACUACGUG
Molecule: ribosomal RNA, 468 nt
Filed under: uncultured bacterium
Lineage: Bacteria
Description: partial 16S ribosomal RNA
Rfam family: Bacterial small subunit ribosomal RNA
Source: RNAcentral